Molecule: long non-coding RNA, 202 nt
Filed under: Rhinopithecus roxellana (golden snub-nosed monkey)
Lineage: Eukaryota; Metazoa; Chordata; Mammalia; Primates; Cercopithecidae
Description: lncRNA (ENSRROG00000046064.1)
Source: RNAcentral
GAGGAGUCCCAGGUGGCCCCAGAAGAAGAAGCCUCUGAACAAAGAAGACAAUGCUUGGGUUAUGGUGGAGGGGACAUGGAAGGUUAUGGGUUCUUCUGGAGUCUUCUGAACCUGCCGGGCAUUUCUGACUGGAUGAAAAUUAACAAAAGUCCAUGGUCAAACUGAUGAAAAUUAGCAGCAGUUCAUCUUAAUUUAAUUGCCA